AUUGAACGCUGGCGGCAUGCCUUACACAUGCAAGUCGAACGGUAACGGGUCUUCGGAUGCUGACGAGUGGCGAACGGGUGAGUAAUACAUCGGAACGUGCCUAGUAGUGGGGGAUAACUACUCGAAAGAGUGGCUAAUACCGCAUGAGAUCUACGGAUGAAAGCAGGGGAUCGCAAGACCUUGUGCUACUAGAGCGGCCGAUGGCGGAUUAGGUAGUUGGUGGGAUAAAAGCUUACCAAGCCGACGAUCUGUAGCUGGUCUGAGAGGACGAUCAGCCGCACUGGGGCGGAGAAACGGCCCAGACGCCUACGGGGGGCAGCAGUGGGGAAUUUUGGACAAUGGGCGCAAGCCGGAUCCAGCAAUGCCGCGUGCAGGAUGAAGGCCUUCGGGUUGUAAACUGCUUUUGUACGGAACGAAAAGCCCCGGGUUAAUACCCUGGGGUCAUGACGGUACUGUAAGAAUAAGCACCGGCUAACUACGUGCCAGCCGCCGCAGUAA
Molecule: ribosomal RNA, 498 nt
Filed under: uncultured bacterium
Lineage: Bacteria
Description: partial 16S ribosomal RNA
Rfam family: Bacterial small subunit ribosomal RNA
Source: RNAcentral